AGUGUUUUUUUAUCUAUUUUUUUCUUGGCUUUCGCGGUUUUCGUUUAGCCACAACGGAGUUUAUUUUUGAAGUUUCUAAAAAGAGUUAGAAUCAUAGAUAGUGUUUUGUUUUUCUUAACUUUUUAAUGAAUUUGGUGAUUAGGAGGUAAUUAUAAAAUAAAGUUACUUACCUUAAUAUUUCCUCGUAUCUACGCUUCUAACUACAGUUUUGUUAUUUUAAAUUCACAAAAUCGCAUUAAUACAGUGACUCAACGAAAAUGUAAACAAACUCGUUUGGACUGCAACCUCUUUGCAAGUGCCCACCUCGGACUCUGAACCUGGCACAAAACAAAAAAAAAAGACGUCAAAAUCGUUUGACAGCAAGAAUUUUGUGUUUUCGUGAUCUUGUGAACUUUGGCGGUAAAUACUAUAAGUUACUGAAGAAUAUUUUGGAGAAUGUUAACUGUGGCCUCUGGGAAAUUGACGAAGACAAUAACAAUUAAACGGCUGAAUGAGUUUGUGACCACUUUAGGCUGUGUGUUAGGCGAUAAACAUUAUCUGCCCACUUCUAAGCCGUGUGUGAAGAGGGAAUCCGAAGAAAAAGCAGAUGAAGAGCUCCGCUUCCCUUCCGUCUGGCGUGAUCGAGUGACGGCCACCAUCCACUUGUCGUCCACGCCGGAAGCCCGUAGCUUGAACAGCCUGUGACGUCACCUGUGAAGAGAGCGUGACGUCACGACUUGUGAUGACGUCGGAGAGGGUUGAUGAUGGAAAUAAAUUGAUAUGAGACUGAAAUAA
Ostrinia nubilalis (European corn borer) is the source of this 774-nucleotide long non-coding RNA. RefSeq lists it as uncharacterized. The record is from RefSeq and is a predicted model, not a curated record. NCBI's taxonomy places the organism in Eukaryota, Metazoa, Arthropoda, Insecta, Lepidoptera, Crambidae. The transcript has 3 exons.